ACAAUCCUAGAGAUAGGACGUCCCCUUCGGGGGCAGAGUGACAGGUGGUGCAUGGUUGUCGUCAGCUCGUGUCGUGAGAUGUUGGGUUAAGUCCCGCAACGAGCGCAACCCUUGAUUUUAGUUGCCAGCAUUCAGUUGGGCACUUUAAGGUGACUGCCGGUGACAAACCGGAGGAAGGUGGGGAGGACGUCAAAUCAUCAUGCCCCUUAUGACCUGGGCUACACACGUGCUACAAUGGACAGAACAAAGGGCAGGGAAACCGCGAGGUUAAGCCAAUCCCACAAAUCUGUUCUCAGUUCGGAUCGCAGUCUGCAACUCGACUGCGUGAAGCUGGAAUCGCUAGUAAUCGCGGAUCAGCAUGCCGCGGUGAAUACGUUCCCGGGCCUUGUACACACCGCCC
This 400-nucleotide ribosomal RNA is filed under the name Bacillus sp. MAL 27. RNAcentral describes it as "bacterial SSU rRNA". It matches the Rfam family "Bacterial small subunit ribosomal RNA", at positions 994 to 1395 of the family's 1533-position model. Lineage: Bacteria; Bacillati; Bacillota; Bacilli; Caryophanales; Bacillaceae. The record is from RNAcentral.